This 327-nucleotide ribosomal RNA is filed under the name uncultured eukaryote. Its description in RNAcentral is "partial 18S ribosomal RNA". It matches the Rfam family "Eukaryotic small subunit ribosomal RNA", at positions 1470 to 1796 of the family's 1831-position model. The record is from RNAcentral.
CCCUUAGAUGUCCGGGGCCGCACGCGCGCUACAAUGGAUGAAUCAACGCGUCAUCCUGGCCCGAAAGGGUUGGGGAACCGCUGAACCUCAUCCGUGGUUGGGAUUGGGGUUUGUAAUUAUUCCCCAUGAACUAGGAAUUCCCAGUAAGCGCGAGUCAUAAGCUCGCGUUGAUUACGUCCCUGCCCUUUGUACACACCGCCCGUCGCUACUACCGAUUGGAUGGUUUAGUGAGAUCCUCGGAUUGGUCACGGCACGGUGGCAACACUGCGUCGGUGUGCCGAGAAGACGAUCAAACUUGAUCAUCUAGAGGAAGUAAAAGCCGUAACA